AGAGUUUGAUCCUGGCUCAGAACGAACGCUGGCGGCGCGUUUUAAGCAUGCAAGUCGAGCGGCAAGAGUACUUCGGUACUCCUAGAGCGGCGGACGGGUGAGUAACACGUGGAUAACCUGCCCCCGGGUGCGGGAUAGCCCAGGGAAACCUGGAUUAAUACCUCGUAAGACCACGCUCUGCAGGGAGAGUGGGAAAAGGCGCUUCGGCGUCGCCUGGGGAUGGGUCCGCGUCCCAUUAGCUAGAUGGUAGGGUAAGAGCCUACCAUGGCGACGAUGGGUAGCCGGCCUGAGAGGGUGAACGGCCACACUGGAACUGAGACACGGUCCAGACUCCUACGGGAGGCAGCAGCUAAGAAUCUUCCGCAAUGGGCGCAAGCCUGACGGAGCGACGCCGCGUGGGCGAGGAAGGCCGCAAGGUUGUAAAGUCCUUUUCGGGAAGGGGAAUAAGAGUGAUAGGCAAUGAUCACUUGAUGACAUGAAUCCCGGAAUAAGCCCCGGCUAACUACGUGCCAGCAGCCGCGGUAACACGUAGGGGGCGAGCGUUGUUCGGAAUCAUUGGGCGUAAAGGGCGCGCAGGCGGCGUGUAAAGUCUGGCGUGGAAGUCCCCGGCUCAACUGGGGGAUUGCGUUGGAAACUGGCACGCUUGAGUACGACAGGGGAUGGCGGAAUUCCAGGUGUAGGGGUGAAAUCUGUAGAUAUCUGGAGGAACACCAAUGGCGAAGGCAGCCAUCUGGAUCAGUACUGACGCUGAGGCGCGAAGGUGCGGGGAGCAAACAGGUUUAGAUACCCUGGUAGUCCGCACAGUAAACG
Molecule: ribosomal RNA, 810 nt
Filed under: uncultured bacterium
Lineage: Bacteria
Description: bacterial SSU rRNA
Rfam family: Bacterial small subunit ribosomal RNA
Source: RNAcentral